AUAUAGGUCAAGCUACAAAGGGCGCAUGGUGAAUGCCUUGGCAUCAGGAGCCGAUGAAGGACGUGAUAAGCUGCGAUAAGCUUCGGGUAGGCGCACAUAGCCUGAGAUCCGAAGAUCUCCGAAUGAGGAAACUCACAUGGGAAACCCCAUGUAUCAUUAAGUGAAUACAUAGCUUAAUGAAGGUAACCCAGGGAACUGAAACAUCUAAGUACCUGGAGGAAGAGAAAGAAAAAUCGAUUUUCUUAGUAGCGGCGAGCGAAAGGGAAAGAGCCCAAACCGGAAACUUGUUUCCGGGGUUGUGGACAUAGCAUAAAAGUGGAGGCUAUUGUAACUGAAGAGAACUGGAAAGUUCCACCGUAGAAGGUAAUAGUCCUGUAAGUGAAACGAGAAGACCACGAGUUAUGAUCCAGAGUACCACGAGACACGUGAAACCUUGUGGGAAGCAGGGAGGACCACCUCCCAAGGCUAAAUACUACCUGAUGACCGAUAGUGAAGCAGUACCGUGAGGGAAAGGUGAAAAGAACCCCGGGAGGGGAGUGAAAUAGAACCUGAAACCGUGUGCCUACAACCGCUCAGAGCCCCUUAUGAGGGUGAUGAGGUGCUUUUUGUAGAACGAGCCAACGAGUUACGGUAUGUAGCAAGGUUAAGUACUUAAGGUACGGAGCCGAAGGGAAACCGAGUCUGAAUAGGGCGACUAGUUGCAUGCCGUAGACCCGAAACCGGGUGACCUAUCCAUGGCCAGGUUGAAGCGAGGGUAAAACCUCGUGGAGGACCGAACCACGUUGCUGUUGAAAAAGCAUGGGAUGAGCUGUGGAUAGCGGAGAAAUUCCAAUCGAACCCGGAGAUAGCUGGUUCUCUCCGAAAUAGCUUUAGGGCUAGCGUCGAGUAUGAGUAGUGGAGGUAGAGCACUGAAUGGGCUAGGGGGCAUAGCGCUUACCGAACCUUAUCAAACUCCGAAUGCCACAUACUUUGAGCUCGGCAGUCAGACUACGAAUGAUAAGAUCCGUGGUCAAAAGGGAAACAGCCCAGAUCGUCAGCUAAGGUCCCAAAGUGUAAGUUAAGUGGGAAAGGAUGUGAGAUUUCUAAGACAACUAGGAUGUUGGCUUAGAAGCAGCCAUUCAUUAAAAGAGUGCGUAAUAGCUCACUAGUCGAGAGAUCUUGCGCCGAAAAUGUAACGGGGCUAAACUUACCACCGAAGCUACGGGCUUGAACUUAGUUCAAGCGGUAGGAGAGCGUCGUAACCGGGCUGAAGUCGUACCGUAAGGAGCGGUGGACUGGUUACGAGUGAGAAUGUUGGCAUCAGUAGCGAGAUGUGGGUGAGAAUCCCACAGGCCGAAAACCUAAGGUUUCCUCAGGAAGGUUCGUCCGCUGAGGGUUAGUCGGGACCUAAGCCGAGGCCGAAAGGCGUAGGUGAUGGACAACUGGUUGAUAUUCCAGUACCACUACCAUCGUUAUUAUCGAUGGCGUGACGCAGGAGGAUAGUGUGUGCUAGCUAUUGGAUGCUAGUCUAAGCGUUUAGGCAGUGAGAGUAGGCAAAUCCGCUCUCAUAAUGCUGAGGCGUGAUGGGGAAGGUUCUACGGAACCGAAGUACAUGAUUCCACGCUGCCAAGAAAAGCGUCUAGAGAGAGAAGUAGUGCCCGUACCGCAAACCGACACAGGUAGGUGAGGAGAGAAUCCUAAGGCCGGCGGAAGAAUUACAGUUAAGGAACUCGGCAAAUUGACCCCGUAAGUUCGCGAGAAGGGGUGCCUACGAGAGUAGGCCGCAGAGAAUAGGCCCAAGCAACUGUUUAGCAAAAACACAGGUCUCUGCUAAAGCGUAAGCUGAUGUAUAGGGGCUGACGCCUGCCCGGUGCUGGAAGGUUAAGGGGAACACUUAGCGCAAGCGAAGGUGUGAACUUAAGCCCCAGUAAACGGCGGCCGUAACUAUAACGGUCCUAAGGUAGCGAAAUUCCUUGUCAGGUAAGUUCUGACCCGCACGAAUGGCGUAAUGACUUGGGCACUGUCUCAACUGUAAAUCCGGCGAAGUUGUAGUGCGAGUGAAGAUGCUCGCUACCCGCGAUUGGACGGAAAGACCCCGUAGAGCUUUACUGUAGCUUAGCAUUGAGUUUUGGUAUUGUCUGUACAGGAUAGGUGGGAGACUAGGAAACCAGGGCGUCAGCCUUGGUGGAGUCAACCUUGGGAUACCACCCUGACAGUACUGAAAUUCUAACUGGCGGCCAUGAAUCUGGUCACAGGACAUUGUUAGGUGGGCAGUUUGACUGGGGCGGUCGCCUCCUAAAAAGUAACGGAGGCGCCCAAAGGUUCCCUCAGAACGGUCGGAAAUCGUUCGAAGAGUGCAAAGGCAGAAGGGAGCCUGACUGCGACACCCACAAGUGGAGCAGGGACGAAAGUCGGGCUUAGUGAUCCGGUGGUACCUCGUGGGAGGGCCAUCGCUCAACGGAUAAAAGCUACCUCGGGGAUAACAGGCUGAUCUCCCCCAAGAGUCCACAUCGACGGGGAGGUUUGGCACCUCGAUGUCGGCUCGUCGCAUCCUGGGGCUGAAGUAGGUCCCAAGGGUUGGGCUGUUCGCCCAUUAAAGCGGCACGCGAGCUGGGUUCAGAACGUCGUGAGACAGUUCGGUCCCUAUCUGUCGCGGGCGUAGGAAAUUUGAGAGGAGCUGUCCUUAGUACGAGAGGACCGGGAUGGACUGACCUCUGGUGUACCAGUUGUUCCGCCAGGAGCACAGCUGGGUAGCUAAGUCGGGAAUGGAUAAACGCUGAAAGCAUCUAAGCGUGAAGCCAACCUCAAGAUUAGAUUUCCCAUAGCGUAAGCUAGUAAGAUCCCUUGAAGAACACAAGGUUGAUAGGUCGGGGGUGUAAGCAUGGUAACAUGUUCAGCUGACCGAUACUAAUAGAUCGAGGGCUUGACCAAAU
Molecule: ribosomal RNA, 2912 nt
Filed under: Clostridium perfringens
Lineage: Bacteria; Bacillati; Bacillota; Clostridia; Eubacteriales; Clostridiaceae
Description: bacterial LSU rRNA
Rfam family: Bacterial large subunit ribosomal RNA
Source: RNAcentral